UUUAUUUCUUUGUAGUGGACCAAUUUUUGAGAAGCCCAAAUAAUAAAUAAUUAUUCUACUCCUCCUGCAGUCAAAUUUUAGUCAAAUAAAUUUCUCCCAAUCCCACUACUGUUCGGUUUUCUCCAUAUCUCCUUCCCUCCUAAAAUCUCUCCAACCAAAUAACCCCUUUUGACGCCACAUACGUAUAUACAUAUAUCUUCCCUUUAAUCUCAACAAAUUACCGUCUUCCGUUCUGCAAUUCUCCUCCUCCUCCGUUAAGUGUAAAGGAGAAACUGGGAGAGUUGUUAUUACAUUCUGUUGUGCAAAUUUUUUCUUUUUCUUCCCAAAGGGUGAGCUUGUGCACGUUGUUUGCGGUGGGACCAGAGAGUGAUUAAGGAGUUAAGCUGUUAAGAUUGAGCGGCGAUGGGCGUGGAGGAUGUUGAGCAGAGUCCAUGGAUUGUUUUGUCAUGGUUAAUAAUUGUUGGUUUUGUCGUGUCUUCAUACUCGGCAUUUUCCGUGUCUUGAACGCUUCCGCUAAGAGUCCUUUUCUUUAGAAUUGUUUAUUCGUGGAGAGUCUAACUCGUUUGAAAAUUGUUUAUUGUCCAUUCUUUAUUUA
Long non-coding RNA from Salvia splendens (bonfire salvia), 595 nucleotides. RefSeq lists it as uncharacterized. Lineage: Eukaryota; Viridiplantae; Streptophyta; Magnoliopsida; Lamiales; Lamiaceae. The record is from RefSeq and is a predicted model, not a curated record. The transcript has 4 exons.